RNAcentral lists this long non-coding RNA (1348 nucleotides) under Felis catus (domestic cat). Its description in RNAcentral is "lncRNA (ENSFCAG00000047691.1)". The record is from RNAcentral. Lineage: Eukaryota; Metazoa; Chordata; Mammalia; Carnivora; Felidae.
GGUGUUUGAAACCACCGAAAUGGAUGAGAUUUCCUGGAUAGCAAGAAUAGUGUGUAGAGAAAAGAAAAUUGGGAAUUUCGUUGCCCCAACAUGUUGCUAACUAGAUACAUUUUGUGCUUCCGUCCUUCCUUUUCUCCAUUUUAGGCUCUGAGGAUUAUUUAACAGGAGAAACAGAUUGUGGAACUGUAGAAGUCCAGCCUCCCAAACUACAGUUGUGUGUCUGCUCUGAUUUUGGUUUUAGAAACAGUAGUAGUUACUGUGAGACAACCAGAAUGUAUGCUGUUUCUUGUUUUCAGAUUGGAGGGUGCCAUAAUCAGAGUAUCUCCCCUUACGCGUGGUUUCAGUUUCGCUUUCGGCAGUUUCAGAAACCCGCCAGUCAACCCUGGCAGGAAGCAGAUGAUUCUGACGAAUCAUCACAAAGCCAAUAGCAGCCUAACUCUGCGUCAGGAAGCUGCGUCAUUCCCCGCACUUCGUUUCUUCACGUAGGCGUUUUAUCAUUUCACGUCAGCACAGGAAGAAGGGUGAGUGCAAGGUGUUUUGAGACGACACAUUCACAUAACUUUUAUUAUAGUAUAUUGUUAUAAUUAUUCUAUUUUAGCUUACUAUUAUUUUUUAAUUAUUUUUUUUAAGUUUAUUCGUUUAUUUUGAGACAGAGACCGCGUGAGUGGGGGAGGGGUAGAGAGAGGGAGACAGAAUCCCAAGCGGGAUCCUCACUGUCAACAGAGCCCGAUGAGGGGCUCAAACUCAGGUCAUGACCUGAGCUGAAAUCAAGAGUCAGGAUGCUUAACCAACUCAGCUAAUUAUUCUAUUUUAUUAUUAGUUGUUGUUAAUCUCUUACUGUGCUUAAUUUAUCAAUUAAAUGUUAUCAUAGGUACCUCCGUGCAGGAAAAAACAUAGUAUAUACUAAGAUUCAGCACUAUCUGCAUUUCAGGCAUCCUCAAGGGAUCUUGGAACACAUACCCUGUGGAUAAGGGGGGGGGACUACUUUAUUUACCAGCUGUUUAUUGUUAGUACAUAGGCAAUACUAAUUUUUAAAAAAAUAUCUAGCUACUUUACUGAACUCUCAUACUGAUGUAUCAUUCUUUUCAAUUGGUUUUCUUAGGUUUUGUAAGUAUUCACACUAUUGUUAUUUGUAAAUAGUAGUAAUUUUGUUUCUCAUCCCUGACUUUCAAACAAUUAUAACAUUUAGUUCUCUUUCACACAUAACUCAAUUACUGGUGGUGACAAAGGAUAGAUUUAUAUGGCUAAAUGAAGACAAUUAAAAUUUAAAACUAAUUUUAGCCUAAUUUGUAAAUCUCCCUUGUAAAAUCUUUUAUAACAAAUAAACAAUUAUUUUGUCAUUACCUCA